CCUACGGGAGGCAGCAGUGAGGAAUAUUGGUCAAUGGACGAGAGUCUGAACCAGCCAAGUAGCGUGAAGGAUGACUGCCCUAUGGGUUGUAAACUUCUUUUAUAUGGGAAUAAAAUGUUCCACGUGUGGGAUUUUGUAUGUACCAUAUGAAUAAGGAUCGGCUAACUCCGUGCCAGCAGCCGCGGUAAUACGGAGGAUCCGAGCGUUAUCCGGAUUUAUUGGGGUUAAAGGGAGCGUAGGUGGAUUGUUAAGUCAGUUGUGAAAGUUUGCGGCUCAACCGUAAAAUUGCAGUUGAAACUGGCAGUCUUGAGUACAGUAGAGGUGAGCGGAAUUCGUGGUGUAGCAGUGAAAUGCUUAGAUAUCACGAAGAACUCCGAUUGCGGAGGCAGCUCACUGGACUGCAACUGACACUGGGGCUCGAAAGUGUGGGUAUCAGACAGGAUUAGGUGCCCGAGUAGUC
This 460-nucleotide ribosomal RNA is filed under the name uncultured bacterium. Its description in RNAcentral is "partial 16S ribosomal RNA". It matches the Rfam family "Bacterial small subunit ribosomal RNA", at positions 338 to 795 of the family's 1533-position model. The record is from RNAcentral.